CCUCGCGCCGCCAGGAGCAAGCGAGAGCGCUCCCGCUCGACCCCGCAGCUCCUCCAGCCGGCCACGCCCUCCCUCUCCCCCGAGCUCGCCUCACCCUCCUCUGAACCCACCUCCGCCGCCACUCCCACGCUAGAGCCCUCCCCGCCGGCCCCUCGCCGUACACGGCCGCCCGACGCCGUGAACCCCAUGGCCACCGGCCUCCCUAAGUAGGCUAACGCUUCGAGGGGCUGCCCCUCGACCUCCUCAACCUCCACGCCAACUCCAGCGAAUAGGAGCUUCACCAAGUCGUCGCCGUCAUCUCUUCUUCAACCUCGUCCGCCUCUCCGAUCCCCGUCGAGCCGCUCGCCAUCGACGCCCUCCGGCUACCUCGACCCCGGCAAAGAGCUCGCGGAAACAGACCCUCGUGGUCAGGUUGAUCGUGCUCCGACGUGGUCAAUAACCACUCGAAAUUGGUUUAGCGAUUGCUAAGGUGCAAUGUCUUGCACGUUUGUAGUCGGAUCGUCAAAGUCGGCUCCACCAAAUCGAUAGUUAUCAUCUCAUCGAAAUAUCGGGUCCCUCGCCUCUAUCAAGUGAUAUCAGUUUUCAGGUUCCUCGGUGAGAAUUUCCAGUUUUUCGUAGAUUAGAUUUAUUUUCUUACAUAUUGUCCAAGAAAAAGCCACAAAAAAGUUAGAUCUAUUUAUCAUUUAUCCAAGC
This is a long non-coding RNA of Triticum urartu, 693 nucleotides long. RefSeq lists it as uncharacterized. The record is from RefSeq and is a predicted model, not a curated record. Lineage: Eukaryota; Viridiplantae; Streptophyta; Magnoliopsida; Poales; Poaceae.